CUGACCUCUGGCAUCCCUUGACUUUGGCUACACUUUGGUAAUCCUGACCUCUGGCAUCCUUUGACUUCGACUAUCCCUUGACUAUCCUGCUGUUUAUGUCCUUGUUGGUACUGCAUUGGAAUCCUUUCCUGCACAGCCCCCACGCACAGAUUCACAGUCCAGGUGGCUUCUUAUCUGGUCACCUUGGACUGUGUCUAUCUGCAAGGGUGAG
Molecule: non-coding RNA, 211 nt
Organism: Pelobates cultripes (western spadefoot toad)
Lineage: Eukaryota; Metazoa; Chordata; Amphibia; Anura; Pelobatidae
Source: the annotation of a GenBank genome assembly